Molecule: ribosomal RNA, 504 nt
Filed under: uncultured bacterium
Lineage: Bacteria
Description: partial 16S ribosomal RNA
Rfam family: Bacterial small subunit ribosomal RNA
Source: RNAcentral
AUUGAACGCUGGCGGCAGGCCUAACACAUGCAAGUCGAACGGUAGCACAGAGAGCUUGCUCUCGGGUGACGAGUGGCGGACGGGUGAGUAACGUCUGGGAAACUGCCCGAUGGAGGGGGAUAACUACUGGAAACGGUAGCUAAUACCGCAUAACGUCGCAAGACCAAAGUGGGGGACCUUCGGGCCUCACACCAUCGGAUGUGCCCAGAUGGGAUUAGCUAGUAGGGGGGGUAAUGGCUCACCUAGGCGACGAUCCCUAGCUGGUCUGAGAGGAUGCCCAGCCACACGGGAACUAGACACCGGUACAGACCCCUAGGGAGGGCAGCAGUGGGGAAUUUUGCAAAAGGGGCGCAAGCCGGAUGCAGCCACGCGGGGUGUAUGAAGAGGGCCUUCGGGUUGUAAAGUACUUUCAGCGGGGGGGAAGGCGGGGAAGUUAAAAGCUUCACGGAUUGACUUUACCCGCAGAAGAAGCCCCGGCUAACUCCAUGCCACCCGCCGCGGUAA